Small nuclear RNA from Zalophus californianus (California sea lion), 143 nucleotides. Its record names the gene U4. It matches the Rfam family "U4 spliceosomal RNA". Rfam says of the family: U4 small nuclear RNA (U4 snRNA) is a component of the major U2-dependent spliceosome. NCBI's taxonomy places the organism in Eukaryota, Metazoa, Chordata, Mammalia, Carnivora, Otariidae. The record is from Ensembl.
AGUUUUGCACAGUGGCAGUAUCGUAGGCAAUGAGGUUUAUCCGAGGCACGAUUAUUGUUAAUUAUUGCCAUACCUGAUAUGCAGAAAACUCCCCUCUCCUCCAAAGAGAUCUAUGUUAUAAUUCCUGGAACCUAUGAAUAUGU